AAGAGCCCAGCUUGAAAA
RNAcentral lists this small nuclear RNA (18 nucleotides) under Arabidopsis thaliana (thale cress). RNAcentral describes it as "snRNA_07517". Lineage: Eukaryota; Viridiplantae; Streptophyta; Magnoliopsida; Brassicales; Brassicaceae. The record is from RNAcentral.